UGAAAUGUUACAACAAGCUGCCAGUAGAAACAACAGUUUACACUGUCAAUGGCAAUGGCUAAGUGCUGUUUCCGCUAUCUCACAGGAAGUAGAUCGCAUAAACACUUGAACAAAUGUUAGUUCAGGAAUAAGGUGGAUAUAAUGCAAUAUUUAUAAAUGACAAUAAUAACCUUGUGUUGUUGUUGUUUGUUCUGUGGCUCAAUUGUUUAUUUAGGUAGAUCAGCAUGUACAAACAAAAGGACGCUCAAAAAAAUCAACAAAGUCGUUUGUUUGGUUGGACGAGAACAAAGAAGGUCAAUCUCUGCCAAAAAGAUGUAGAGCUGGAGAGAAGAGAAAACGUGCUUCAGUCACUGUGUCCCCAGUAAGCGUAACUCCCUCCUGUGCUCCAUCUACUGAUACAACUGGAGAAACCGCAACCACCAAUUUAGACUCCCUCCUUCAAGAUGUCCAAGACCUCUUGGGAAGUGGUGCUGAACAACCUCUCCCCUCACACUGGAGGAACAGGCAAACUUCCUCUCUGCAGAAUUGGACAGUGAUGAGGCCCUUCAUGGUGAACAAUAUGUUGUCAUCUGAGAAGCCCAAGGAGGGGGUUUGCCAUCAGUGUGGGCACAAGGCCGCAGUUGUGAUGUGUAGGGACUGUUUACCCCGAUCACUGUACUGCACAGCCUGUGAUCUUUCCACACACGAGACCUUGGUGCUGCAUAACAGAGCAUCCACGGUGGAGGGGUUCUUCAAACACCUGCCACCAUCCACUUUUGUCCAGCAGCAUGAAGGAGGGAAGUUCUCAUAUCAGG
Molecule: long non-coding RNA, 794 nt
Organism: Cyprinodon variegatus (sheepshead minnow)
Lineage: Eukaryota; Metazoa; Chordata; Actinopteri; Cyprinodontiformes; Cyprinodontidae
Exons: 3
Source: RefSeq, a predicted model, not a curated record